AUCUCAUGGUUCCUAGUUGGAUUCACUUCCUCUGUGCCAUGACGGGAACUCUGGGAAGUUAUUUUCAAGGUGAGCCAACAAGCUCAGGAAAGUUGAUUUACUUGCCCAAGGUCACAUCACUAGGAGGGGCUGAGCUGGUGACCUCUAAACUAUGCCAAGGUUAUGGGUAUGACUGGGGACAAUUCUGGGGGAAUUUUCCCACCACCAACAUAUAAUAGUUAUAUCAUGAAUACCUCAACUAAUCACCUCUUUCUGCUAAGGAAAUGGGUCUCUUUGACUUGAUGAAAUUCUCAAGAAAUGUCCUCUCUUGAGGAGCCUGUCUUUAUAAAUAAGAAUUUCAUACAAAUCUUUCAUUACCUCUAUGGCUUUGUAACAAAUGUGCUCCAACAGAUGCGUGUGCAAGCUGGGCAGUCCAUCCUAAGGGAGAAAGGCAUGGAGUUUGAAAGGGAAUCAAGGCAGCUACCAGAACCAUCUUUGUUAGGUUGAGAUGCAAAUGCAACCAUUAACCUUCAAGAGCCCUUGUGAAAUGAGAUGCUACUUUUCAGAUUCUCCAAAGCCCUCUCUUUACUUUCAUCCCAAUGUUUCUGAUCCCAUUUCAUUUUUGCUUCUUUCCUAACCUAGGCUGGAUCCUGUGGACGUUGGACCCACUCAUUCCAACCUCAACCUCUAGAUACACACACCUUCCUCUCCUACGUGGAUAAAUCCACUGUUCUUUUUUGUUGUUGUUGUUCCUGAACCAUUGAUCCAUCCGGAGCUAUUGAUGGCUCCCAAAUUAAAGUUCUUAGCUAUGCUCUGGGUUAGCUCCAUUUCACAGCUACGCCUUCACCUGGAAUGGGGUUCUCAAUCCUCUCUGCCUUCCCCUUCCCUUGCUCUGUUCUAAAACGUGUGCCUUUCCUCUGAGCUCCAUCAUCUUCAGAUCUCACCCAUCAUGAACAGAUGAUCCUAGGUCAUGGAAGAUAAUGGCCACUAGGUAGGAACCCCCACCCCUUCCUCUCUGCUUCUUAAGUGAUCUGUAUCUUUAUCCAUUGUUAUAGACUGGAUGUUUCUGUCUUCACAAAAUUCGGAUGUUGAAGCCCUGACCCCCAUUGUGGUUGUAUAUGGAAACAGGGCCUAUAAGAGGGUGAUUAAGUUUAGAUGAGAUCAUAAGGGUGAGGCCCCGAUCCAGUAGGAUCAGUGUCCUUAUAAGAAGCACCACCUGAGAGCUUGCUCUGUCUCUCUACAUGCACACAUUGAGGAAAAGUCAUGUGAGGACACAGUGAGAAGUCAGUCUACAAGCCAGGAGGAAAGUUUCACCAGUCUUUUACUAGUGCUUUCUUUCCCUUAAGUCAGAACUGCUUGGCAGGGUUGAGGGCCAGGGGUCGGGAAUGGGUUAGAAGGCUGUUGGAUGAUCCAUGGAUUAGCACAGAGAAAGUAAGGUGAAUUGAAUAUUUAAUAACCACUACAACGGCUUGACACAGAAAAAGUUGUAUUUUUUCUCAUACUUCUUCAAAACAGAAUGGGCUCAGCUGCGGAGUUCUGCGGGUCUGACUUGAGGUCACUCUUGUGGCAGUUUUUCCUUGGUAGAUCGAUGGGGGCUGGGCUCAGAUGGGAUGGAUGCGCUUCCUCCCUUUUCAUACAAUCUCAGGACCUCUCUUUCCACAUGGCUUGUCCAUCAGGUCUCUCCAGCAGUGUUGCUAGUCCUCUGACCUGGGAGCUCAGAGCUUCUAAGAGUACAAAUGUGGAAGUUAAUAGGUCUUCCUAGGCCUUUUGCCCCAAACUGACACAUCACCACUUCCUCUGCAGCCUGUUCAUUGAAGCGUGUCACAGGACCAGCCCAGCUUCUAGGGAAGGCAAUAAACAGUGUGGCUCCUCAGAGAUCAGAGUGAGGGUCACCACUGUAACAGAAUACUGUCAACAUUUUGCGUUUGUCAACCUACACAAUCAAUAAAGACUUUCCAAUAGAACUGUCAAUAUCUGCUUAUGGGACUCUUUAAAAAUUUUUUUUAUUGAAGUAUAGUUGAUUUACAGUGUUGUGUUAGUUUCAGGUAUACAGCAAAGUGAUUCGGUUAUACAUUGUAUGCAAUAAUAUGUGUAUAAUCGGUUUCAAAUUCUUUUCUAUUAUAGGUUAUUGCAAGAUACUCAAUAUUGUUCCCUGUACUAUACAGUAGGUCAUUGUUUGUUUUAUAUUAGCAGUGUGUAUAUCUUAAUCCCAAACUCCUAAUUUAUCCCUCUCCACCCCCUUUCCCCUUUGGUAACCAUAAGACAAUUUUCUUUGUAAAUCUUUGUAAAAAAAGUUCAUUUGUAUCAUUUUCCUAGAUUCCACAUAAGUGAUAUAUAAUAUUUUUCUCUGUCUUACUUACAUCACUCAGUAUGAUAAUCUCUAGGUCUAUCCAAGUUACUGCAAAUAGCAUUAUUUCAUUCUUUUUUAUGGCUGAGUAAUAUUUCUGUGUGUAUUUUUGUAUGUAAUACACACAUGCACACACACACAGAUACCUUUCAUCUUUAUCCAUUCAUUUGUCAGUUGGCAAUUAGGUUACGUCCAUGUCUUGGCUUUUGUAAAUAGUGAAAUAGGACAUUGGGGAACAUGUAUCUUUUCAAAUGAGAGUUUACGUCUUUUCUGGGUGUAUGCCUAGGAGUGGGAUUGCUGGAUCGUAUGGUAACUUUAUUUUUAGUUUUUUAAGGAACCUUCACACUCCUCCAUAGUGGCUGCCCCAGUUUACAUUCCCACCAACAAUGUAGGAGGUUUCCUUUUUCUUCACACAGUCUCCAGCAUUUAUUAUUUAUAAACAUUUUAAUGACUUUCUGACUGGUAUGAGGUGAUACCCUAUUGUAGUUUGGAUUUGCAUUUCUCUAAUAGUGAUGUUGAGCAUCUUCUCAUCACGGGCCUGUUGGCUAUCUGUGUGUCUUCUUUGGUGAAAUGUCUAUUUAGGUCUUCUCCCAUUUAUUUAUUUAUUUAUUUUAAUUUUUAUUUUCAUCUUUUUAUCUUUUCUAGGGCUGUACCCACAGCACAUGGAGGUUCCCGGGCUAGGGGUCUAAUCGGAGCUGUAGCCGCCAGCCUACGCCAGAGCCACAGCAACGCAGGAUCCGAGCUGUGUCUGCGACCUACACCACAGCUCACGGCAACGCCGGAUCGUUAACCCACUGAGCAAGGCCAGGGAUCGAACCCGCAACCUCAUGGUUCCUAGUCGGAUUUGUUAACUACUACGCCACGACAGGAACUCCUGUAUAUUUUGGAAUUAAGCCCUUACUGGCUGCACUGUUUGUGAAUUUUUUUUCUCCCAGUCCAUAGGUUGUCUUACAAGAUUAGCGUACAGAAAUCUGUUGCAUUCCUUUACACUAACAAUGAAAUAUCAGAAAAGUUAAAAAAUCACUCUUAAAAGUGCAUCAAAAAAAUACUUGGGAAUAAAUCUGACAGGAGAGGUGAAAGACUUAUACACCAAAAACUGUAAAACAUUGAUAAAGGAAAUUGAAGACAAUUCUAAGAAAUGGAAAGAUAUCCUAUGCUCUUGGAUUGGAAAAAUUAAUAUUGUUAAAAUGGCUAUACUACCCAAAGCAAUCUACAGAUCUAAUGUGAGCCCUGUCAAAAGUUUCCAUGAUAUUUUUCACAGAACUAACAUAUAAUUAAUAAAUAACAUAAUUAAUAAUUUAGAACACAUAAUCCUAAAGUUUAUAUGGAACCAUAAAAGACCCAGAACUGUCAAAGCAAUCUUGAGGAAAAAGAACAAAGUUGGAGGCAUGAACCUCCCAGACUUCGGACAAUAUUACAAAACUACAGUAACCAAAAUAACAUGGUGUUGCAACAAAAACAAACAUGGAUCAGUGGAACAAAAAAGCCCUAAAUAAACCAACAUGCCUAAGGUCAAUUAAUCUUCAACAAAGAAGGUGAGAAUAUACACUGGAGAAAAGACAGUGUCUUCAGCAAGUGGUGCUGGGAAAACUGGACAGCUACAUGCAAACCAGUGAAGUUAGAACACUCCCUCAUGCCACACACAAAAAUAAACUCAAAAUGGCUUAAAGACAUGACACCUUAAAACUCCUAGAAGAAAACAUAGGCAAAACGUAAAUCUGACAUAAGCUGUAGCAACGUUUUCUUAGGUCAUUUUCCCAAGGCAAAAGACAAAAAGAAACAAUGGGACCUAAUCAACCCUAUAAGGUCUUUACAGCAAAGAAAACCAUAAACAAAACAAAAAGACAACCUAAGACUGCUUCCGGGACUCUUUUUUUUUUUUUUUUUUUUUUUUUUUGUCUUUUGUUGUUGUUGUUGUUGCUAUUUCUUGGGCCGCUCCCGCGGCAUGUGGAGGUUCCUAGGCUAGGGGUUGAAUCAGACCUGUAGCCACCGGCCUACGCCAGAGCCACAGCAACGCGGGAUCCAAGCCGCGUCUGCAACCUACACCACAGCUCACGGCAACGCUGGAUCGUUAACCCACUGAGCAAGGGCAGGGACCGAACCCGCAACCUCAUGGUUCCCAGUCGGAUUCGUUAACCACUGCGCCACGACGGGAACUCCCGGGACUCUUAAUUUUGAUACAUCUACUGAGAUAAAAGAGAGCCCUAUUCUUUGGUGUGCUGCUCUAUGUCAGGGGACUUUGCAUUUUUUUGUUUGUUUGUUUUGAAGAGAAAGUUGAUUUCCAAGUUCUUGGUAGAUCAUAUUUUAACUUUCAGUAUUGACAGUUAUGAUUUGAGAGAGCUCUCACCUCACUGUGGCUUUACCUCCCACGUCUGGGUUUCAGAACCAGCACAGACUUGAGCUCCAACUAUUUUCAGUGGUUUUUAAAAUUUUUUUUAUUAUAGUUUAAAAAUUUUUUUAUUAUAGUUGAUUCUUCAGUGGCAUUUAGAAGGCUAUAGUUAUUUGGCAAAUAAGCUAGCAUAAGAUUUUUGAUUUGGGUGAACCCCAGUAUUUUACAUAUUUCACACACACAAACCUCCACAUUCCUCAGAUACCAUGGGAACUUUCUAUCAUUUGGGGCAGCAUCUUGGGCAGUCUAAGCUCAUCGCCUCAAGGAAGGAAGGCUACAGCCAAACAAAAGAGAACAAAGGCAUCAAUUCUCAAUCUUGAGUUUCAAAGAGCUUUUUCAAAGUCCUGGCAAAGAAAACAGGUUGAUAGAAAAUGUUUCUGUAUUUCAAAAGUGGCAUUUCUUGUACCAAAAGCCAUGUGCUAUGAUGUUUACAAUAGUUUUGGGGAGAUUAUGUGAUACUUAAAAAAAAACAAUUUUUAAGUGAUUUUUUUUUCCAUCAUGGCUGGUUUACAGUGUUCUGUCAGUUUUCUACUGUACAGCAAGGUGACCCAGUCAUACAUACAUAUAUACAUUCUUUUUCUCACAUUAUCAUGCUCCAUCACAAGUGACUAGAUAUAGUUCCCCAUGCUGUACGGCAGGAUCUCAUUGCUUAUCCAUUCCAAAGGCAAUAGUUUACAUCUAUUAACCCCUAAUUCCCAGUCCCUCUCCCUCCCUCCCCCUCCCCCUUGGCCACCACAAGUCUGUUCUCCCAAUUCCAUGAUUUUCUUUUCUGUGGAAAGGUUCAUUUGUGCUUUAUAUUGUAUUCCAGAUAUAAAUGAGAUCAUAUGGUAUUUGUCUUUGUUUCUGACUUACUUCACUUAGUAUGAGAAUCUGUAGUUCCAUCAAUGUUGCUGCAAAUGGCAUUAUUUUGUUCUUUUUAUGGCCGAGUAGUAUUCCAUUGUGUAUAUAUACCACACGUCUUACUCCAUUCAUCUGUCAAUGGACAUUUAGGUUGUUUCCAUGUCUUGGCUAUUGUGAAUAGUGCUGCAGUGAAUAUGCAGGUGCAUGUGUCUUUUUCAAGGAAAGUUUUGUCUGGAUGUAUGCCCAAGAGUGGGAUUGCUGGGUCAUAUGGUAGUUCUAUAUUUAGUUUUCUAAGGUACUUCUAUACUGUUCUCCAUAGUGGCUGUACCAGCUUGCAUUCCCACCAACAGUGUAGGAAGGUUCCCUUUUCUCAACACCCUCUCUAGCAUUUGUUUUUUGUGGAAUUAUUAAUGAUGGCCAUUCUGACUGGUGGUACCUCAUAGUAGGGUUUUUGUUUUUGUUUUUUUUGUCUUCUGUCUAUUUUAGGUCCACACCUGUGGCAUAUGGAGGUUCUCAGGCUAGGGGCCCAAUUGGAGCUAUAGCUGCUGGCCUAUGCCAUAGCCACAGCAACUUGGGAUCUGAGCCAUGUCUGCGACCUACACCACAGCUCAUAGCAAUGCUGGAUCCUUAACCCACUGAGCAAGGCCAGGGAUCAAACCUACAUCCUCAUGGAUACUAGUCAGUUUUGUUAACCACUGAGCCAUGAUGGGAACUCCUACCUCAUAGUAGUUUUGAUUUGCAUUUCUCUAAUAAUCAGUGAUGUUGAACAUUUUUUCAUGUGCUUGUUGGUCAUCUGUACAUCUUUGGAGAAUUGUCUGUUCAAGUCUUUUGCCCAUUUUUCCAUUGGGUGGUUGGCUUUUUUGCUGUUGAGUUGUAAAAAAAAAAAAAAAAAAAAAAAA
Molecule: long non-coding RNA, 6454 nt
Filed under: Sus scrofa (pig)
Lineage: Eukaryota; Metazoa; Chordata; Mammalia; Artiodactyla; Suidae
Description: lncRNA (ENSSSCG00040001184.1)
Source: RNAcentral